CAGGCCACAGGAGUAUGUGCUGCUCUAAUGAUAGAAGAAUUAGUCUUCAGCUAGAAGACCACAAUCUCUUCCAAGAAUGUCCCAUCAUUGCUCUGCCAUCUCAACCACCACUAUCCUUUUCACAGGCUUAUUUCUGCCAGACUGAUUGAGGCUGCAUGCACGUGGGAAGAGCUGCUGUGGCUCUACAUGGCUGUGCCGAAAGGCAUAUACAAGUUUGACAGACACAAAGAAAACUCCAUUCAGAAAGUGGCAAGAUGUUGAGACAAAGCCUUUCUCUCCCUGAGGUUUUCUCCUGAGCACCAGAGGAGGUGGAUGUCCAAAGGAGGUUGUGAAACCCAGGGGAAGAUCACACUGGAACAGGCUCCUGGCAGGACCUGUCACCCCUUGGAGAGAAGAGCGCAUGCUGGAGCAGAUUUACUGGCAGGACCUUGUGUAAGGAUGCACUGGAAGGGAUGCACCCAUAGGAAAGACAAUGGUGGACCAGUCUGUGAGAAGCUGCAGCCUGUGGGAAAUGCACAUGUUGGAGAAGUUUAUGGAGGACUGACUCAUGUGGAUGUGUCCCUGUGCUGGAGCAUGAGCAGUGUGAAGGGUUCUCACCCUUAGGAGGAAGCAGUGGCAGAAACAAGAAGCUGCAAUUCAUAUUCCUUGUCCACCUGCACCUUGGAGAAAAUGGGGAGUAAAGCUGGUCCUUUUAAAAAGGGAGGGAUGGAGGCAUGGAGUUUAAAGAUUUUG
Long non-coding RNA from Zonotrichia albicollis (white-throated sparrow), 732 nucleotides. RefSeq lists it as uncharacterized. NCBI's taxonomy places the organism in Eukaryota, Metazoa, Chordata, Aves, Passeriformes, Passerellidae. The record is from RefSeq and is a predicted model, not a curated record.